Molecule: ribosomal RNA, 251 nt
Filed under: uncultured prokaryote
Description: partial 16S ribosomal RNA
Rfam family: Bacterial small subunit ribosomal RNA
Source: RNAcentral
UACGGAGGAUGCAAGCGUUAUCCGGAUUUAUUGGGUUUAAAGGGUGCGCAGGUUGUUUGAUAAGUCAGUGGUGAAAGUCUGUCGCUUAACGGUAGGAUUGCCAUUGAUACUGUUAGACUUGAAUAUGGAUGAGGUAGGCGGAAUGUGUAGUGUAGCGGUGAAAUGCAUAGAUAUUACACAGAACACCGAUUGCGAAGGCAGCUUGCUAAUCCAUCAUUGACGCUGAGGCACGAAAGCGUGGGGAUCAAACA